UACGUAGGGCGCAAGCGUGUCCGGAAUUAUUGGGCGUAAAGAGCUCGUAGGCGGCUUGUCACGUCGGGGUGUGAAAGCCCCGGGGGCUUUAAACCCCCGGGGUCUGCAUUCGAUACGGGGCAGGCUAGAGUGUGGGUAGGGGGAGAUCGGAAUUCCUGGUGUAGCGGUGAAAAUGCGCAGAUAUCAGGGAGGAACACCGGUGGC
RNAcentral lists this ribosomal RNA (204 nucleotides) under uncultured bacterium. RNAcentral describes it as "partial 16S ribosomal RNA". It matches the Rfam family "Bacterial small subunit ribosomal RNA", at positions 524 to 716 of the family's 1533-position model. The record is from RNAcentral.